UACGGAGGGUGCGAGCGUUAUUCGGAAUUAUUGGGCGUAAAGAGCGCGUAGGCGGUCUCUUAAGUCAGAUGUGAAAGCCCAGGGCUCAACCCUGGAAGUGCAUUUGAAACUAAGGGACUUGAGUAUGGGAGAGGGAGGUGGAAUUCCUGGUGUAGCGGUGAAAUGCGUAGAUAUCAGGAGGAACAUCGGUGGCGAAGGCGACUUCCUGGACCAAUACUGACGCUGAGGCGCGAAGGCGUGGGGAGCAAACAGG
This 253-nucleotide ribosomal RNA is filed under the name uncultured bacterium. RNAcentral describes it as "partial 16S ribosomal RNA". It matches the Rfam family "Bacterial small subunit ribosomal RNA", at positions 524 to 776 of the family's 1533-position model. The record is from RNAcentral.